GUCGUGUUGAGUGGGAGAGGGCAAACGAGGGGCGGGUCUAAUGCAGAGUUGGGAGGCGAUUAGCAGAAGGGAAUGAGGGUUUAAGGGAUAAAAAGCUUGUGAAAAGUAUCGAGGACUUAUGGGGUGAUUAGUGACCAGUGCCUGGCGACAGUGAGAUGGCAGCAGCGAGAGGCAGCAGGUAGCAGGAGUGGAAAGGAAAGGCUGGCGAACGAGGAGUAGGAAACAAGCCGAGGAUGAGACAAGAUAAUGGUACUUUGUUACUAACUCCAAGGAGCUCAAGUACUUAGAUAUCGGCUCCAAUACUCGGUAGAUCCCUGCAUCGAACAGUUGGUGACGGAGGAGACUUUCUAAACAAGCGCCCUCUCACUCAAUGCACUACUUCACCCACGACUUUAUUCCCCGCCGCCUCAAUACGUGUCUUGCGGCGAUAAAUACUCGUAGUGCCUGCAAUCUA
Long non-coding RNA from Portunus trituberculatus (swimming crab), 454 nucleotides. RefSeq lists it as uncharacterized. The record is from RefSeq and is a predicted model, not a curated record. NCBI's taxonomy places the organism in Eukaryota, Metazoa, Arthropoda, Malacostraca, Decapoda, Portunidae. The transcript is spliced from 2 exons.